This 255-nucleotide ribosomal RNA is filed under the name Triticum aestivum (bread wheat). Its description in RNAcentral is "partial small subunit ribosomal RNA". The record is from RNAcentral. Lineage: Eukaryota; Viridiplantae; Streptophyta; Magnoliopsida; Poales; Poaceae.
AUGAAUGCCAAGGCAGCCACGCCCAUCUUGCUCCUCCUGCUUCUUGUUGGAUGCCACGUGUUCUCCGCACACGGUGAUGACGCCGAGGGAUCGGGCGGCGGUCGCCGUGAGCUAGGCGAGGGCGGCGGCAGCGGCAGCAAGGCUCAGGUCGCCGGGUUGUGCGUCGACAGCCCGUGCGACGCGGACCCGAACCGGACGUGCUUCUGCUGCACGAGGCUGGCCAACGAGCCCUGCUACGACACGCUGAGGCAGUGA